CCUACGGGAGGCAGCAGUGAGGAAUAUUGGUCAAUGGGCGCGAGGCUGAACCAGCCAAGUAGCGUGAAGGAUGACUGCCCUACGGGUUGUAAACUUCUUUUAUAAAGGAAUAAAGUGAGGCACGUGUGCCUUUUUGUAGGUACUUUAUGAAUAAGGAUCGGCUAACUCCGUGCCAGCAGCCGCGGUAAUACGGAGGAUGCGAGCGUUAUCCGGAUUUAUUGGGUUUAAAGGGAGCGUAGAUGGGUUGUUAAGUCAGUUGUGAAAGUUUGCGGCUCAACCGUAAAAUUGCAAUUGAUACUGGCAGUCUUGAGUUCAGUUGAGGUAGGCGGAAUUCGUGGUGUAGCGGUGAAAUGCUUAGAUAUCACGAAGAACUCCGAUUGCGAAGGCAGCUUACUAACCUGCCACUGACAUUGAUGCUCGAAAGUGUGGGUAUCGAACAGGAUUAGAUACCCCGGUAGUC
RNAcentral lists this ribosomal RNA (460 nucleotides) under uncultured bacterium. RNAcentral describes it as "partial 16S ribosomal RNA". It matches the Rfam family "Bacterial small subunit ribosomal RNA", at positions 338 to 795 of the family's 1533-position model. The record is from RNAcentral.